This 23-nucleotide non-coding RNA is filed under the name Arabidopsis thaliana (thale cress). Lineage: Eukaryota; Viridiplantae; Streptophyta; Magnoliopsida; Brassicales; Brassicaceae. The record is from RNAcentral.
GCCCAUUGGACAGCCCAUUUGGA